This 267-nucleotide ribosomal RNA is filed under the name uncultured bacterium. RNAcentral describes it as "partial 16S ribosomal RNA". It matches the Rfam family "Bacterial small subunit ribosomal RNA", at positions 123 to 406 of the family's 1533-position model. The record is from RNAcentral.
AACGUGCCCUUUGGUUCGGAACAACUCAGGGAAACUUGAGCUAAUACCGGAUGUGCCCUUCGGGGGAAAGAUUUAUCGCCAUUGGAGCGGCCCGCGUCUGAUUAGCUAGUUGGUGGGGUAAAGGCCUACCAAGGCUACGAUCAGUAGCUGGUCUGAGAGGAUGAUCAGCCACACUGGGACUGAGACACGGCCCAGACUCCUACGGGAGGCAGCAGUAGGGAAUCUUGCGCAAUGGGCGAAAGCCUGACGCAGCCAUGCCGCGUGCAG